GAGCAUAGCUCAGCUGGUUAGAGCACCUGCCUUACAAGCAGGGGGUCACUGGUUCGAGUCCAGUUGU
Molecule: transfer RNA, 67 nt
Filed under: human gut metagenome
Also listed under: 1 other name
Rfam family: tRNA
About the family: Transfer RNA (tRNA) molecules are approximately 80 nucleotides in length.
Source: RNAcentral